Molecule: long non-coding RNA, 231 nt
Filed under: Lathyrus oleraceus (garden pea)
Lineage: Eukaryota; Viridiplantae; Streptophyta; Magnoliopsida; Fabales; Fabaceae
Description: Pisum sativum (pea) long non-coding RNA (PSAT_LNC033073)
Source: RNAcentral
UUUGAUAUUUUAACCGGAUAGCAGAAACUAGGCAUUAAUUCUAAACACAACGAGAGCAUUUUAAGAUUAAUUAGAAUUUAUUGAUUUCCAAAAAUUACUUUUAAUUCUAAUGAGACAGCGAGAGCAAAGCAUUCUGGUUUAAGAGUAUAGUCAGAGUCAAUAACAUGAGAGUGUGAGAUAAAGUCUUUUAAAUCAAUAAUUUUUGCUGAAGAGUAUUUUGACAUUUAAGAU